Molecule: long non-coding RNA, 1591 nt
Organism: Lonchura striata (white-rumped munia)
Lineage: Eukaryota; Metazoa; Chordata; Aves; Passeriformes; Estrildidae
Source: Ensembl
GGGGCUUGUUUCCAGGAGGUCAAUGAAGAUGCCAGAGUCACAUUCAUGUCCCCUCUCUUGCGGCUGGAGCCAGCACAGUGACCGAGAGCCUCCUGUCCUCCCGGCCAGGACUCCAAGGCAACUUCCACCUCCCUUCCUGAGAGCAGGAGUGGGAGCACAGCUGGAUCCCCUCUGCCAGCAUCAUGCCAGGGUGUCACCAAGGGCUACCCAGCCCCGCCACUGGUCACUGGCCACUGAGCAGGGAUGGAGCCGAGUGCACUGCCUUGCCAGGCUGGGCACAGCGGGCACAGGGAUGGCUUGUGGGCUCCUAUGGACCAAUAGGGUUGGGGAGAUGGAGGCUGCAUCCCUCAGCAGUUGGUAGCCCUUUGGGCUGGGUAGCCCUCUUUGUUACUCAGCUGGGGACCUUAAGAGAUAUUAAUAUGUUUUUCUCUAAGGCAGUGAACUUGCCAUUGGCAGUGUUUGCUGUUUGGGUGACUUGGAAGUGUUUGUUAAAGGGAACAAGGUGAGAGCACCUGGCUCUCCCCAUCCUCUGGCCAUUUCAUGGAGGCAAUGGCUAUUGAAGUAUUAAAACACAAGAGCUUGGGAUGGCUGCCAGCAGCACCACAUACUGUGACAAAACAGGGCAGAUGCCUUUUGGAUUGUACUUUGGGCCUUUUAAAUUUUUCUCCCCUCCCUUUCCUCGCUGCUGUGAUUUGGUCAGAGGCUGGGUAGCUCCCCACACACAGCUGCUGGGAAGAGCACAGGGCUCUGUUAGUGUGCCAAGGCAGCAGCACCACUGCCAAGAUAUUCCCCAGAUAAAGCCCACUGCAAGCUCAGAGCCGGUCUGCUGAGCUUCCCUGUGCGUGGGUGAGGCUCUCAUUAGCAAAGGAGCAGAAAAAGGGGUGCAGUGGGGAGAGCUCGUGCCUUGGGAAGGGGCACCAUGGCUCAGCAAGGCCUCAGAGGGAGAGCAGGAGAAUUAGGGCAGCAUUGCAGGGUGGGCUGGGGAGGGAUCCCCCUCCUUCCUGCUGCACCCCACACCCUGGCUUCCCCUUGGAGAGAGGUGAGCGUUUCUGAGCGUGCUUCCUGCCAGCGGUUGGGCUGAGGCUGCCCCAGGUCAUCCACGCACGCUGGCUGCCAACUGUGUUUGGGAUUAUGCAUCCAAGAGCUGUCAGCCCGAGCCAUUCCUCAUUUUACUGUGGAGGAAGGCACGUGGAUUUCGGCUGUCAGUGCAGGGAUGCAGCUCCUGACUGGCCUCUCUGGGACUGGCCACUGCUGAGGACUGGUCCUGCACUGCCCCAGCAUCCUGCUUCCCUGCACAGCAGAUCUCCAGAUUCUCCAGGCUCGCCUCUCGCCCCUGGAUGAGGCUGGGCUGUAGCCUGGCCAGCUGAAUGAUGCAAUGCCAUGAAAAGCCUUGACACAGCUUCAAACAGCAGAGGUCUUUUCGGAGCAGCGGGUGCCCGGCGCUGCCGGGAAGAGCACACGUUCCACACAGCCAGUCUGCCAUCAGCUGGAUGACGUUUAUUUACAUCUUCUAGUCUUUUUUUUUUUUUUUUCCCUUCAGCUGCUUGUGAACUUUAAUAAAAAUGAUGAUCUGGGAAACUGUUUGUGUGUU